This is a long non-coding RNA of Oncorhynchus keta (chum salmon), 1580 nucleotides long. RefSeq lists it as uncharacterized. The record is from RefSeq and is a predicted model, not a curated record. The transcript has 4 exons. Lineage: Eukaryota; Metazoa; Chordata; Actinopteri; Salmoniformes; Salmonidae.
GGAAUGCGAAGGCGAAUUGAGUUAUUGCACACGUGGACUUUACAGGGUAGACAUUCCACAACGGAACCCUGCAAAUGCACGCUAGAAUCUUGUUAGCUCGUGCUUGGCUCUGCCCACCUCCUUGCUUGUUCUGCCCACUAUGGCUCAUUUGUUUCCCUUUGAAACGACAGGCUGUGGUCUAUGUAUGUGUAGUUCUAAAAAUAUUUGUCUGCUUCUUCUUAUUUAAAUUAAAAGGUGCAUACACUGAAAGGUGCAUACACCACCACCUAGUGCGAGUCCGGUGUAAGAGUUAGUGACCCUACCAACUAACUCGACACUCAUUAAAACAUCACCACUAUUCCACUAAUGGCCCCAUCUGAUCCUAGACUAGGCCAGCAGGGUCCGUGUACCUUCUAGACAAUGGCUAUCAUACAUUAACCAGGAUGACGGAUAGUGAUUCACCAUUCGUUAUCCGUUUUCUUUUAUUUAAAGUUGAUCGAAAUUGACAAAGCUACCUUUUUUCGUUUUUCGCUUCAGAUAUCGGAAAACAAGCACUGUCAAGGUAGGCGGGAAAGGGGAGGGUGCGUUUUGAUUUUGUUCCUAGUGUAACGUUAGUUAACAUAAUCUAGCGUUACCGUUAGGGCAACUAGCUAACCACACAGUCUCAAGUGAGUGUCAUUUGUUUGUAGCCAAAUCACCACAACUGUUGUGGCUAGACAAGCUAGCUAACGUUAUUGCCUAGCUACAAAUUCACUGUUCUAUGAAGUUUGUGUUCUCAGUUGUGUUUGAUUUGACCGUCUAUUAUUGACCGUGUUGUGUGGUCUAUAUAUGGUCAGAGGGACCUGGUGGUGGAGGUGUUUGGCGUGGAGAGGACAGUGAAUUCAGUGGAGGACAUCCCAGCCACUUGACAGUGUUGGCACUGUUACUUCCUACCUGACGGUGAAGGAUGAUAAACCCGUGUUUGAGAAGAGGUGUCUGGUGUGGGAGGACAUGCAGAUUCCCUCAAAGUUCCUGAAGGAGGAGUUGAAGGGUAGUACCUGUGGCAACACCCAGGUCUAUCUGUCUUCAGAGGGAUCUAGGGUGCAGACAGCAGAUGGUGGUGGUGGAGAUGUUUGGGGUGGAGAGGACAGUGGAUUCAGUUGGAUGACAUCCCAGCCACUUGGCAGUGUUGGUGUAACAGUAUAACUUUAGACCGUCCCCUCGCCCAUACCUGGGCGUGAACCAGGGACCCUCUGCACACAUCAACAACAGUCACCCACGAAGCAUCGUUACCCAUCGCUCCACAAAAGCCACAGAGCAAGGGGAACCACGACUUCAAGGUCUCAGAGCAAGUGACGUCACCGAUUGAAAAGCUAUUUGGCAUUCACCGCUAACUAAGCUAGCCAUUUCACAUCCGUUACAUUGGGACUGCUACUUCCUACCUGAUGGGCACCUGGCCACCCGAGUGCAGGUGGGCUCUGUCAACAUGAGGCUCUUACUAGAGUAUUGAUAAAAUACGAAUGCUUUUAUGGAUGUUUUUUUAUUUUGUGAUGUUUUUACUGUCUGUUUGUAUGAGGUGCACUGAAACAAAUUCCUAAUCAACUCUGUUACGGAAAUCUCAA